UCCCAGACUCCUACGGGAGGCAGCAGUGGGGGAUAUUGCACAAUGGGGGAAACCCUGAUGCAGCGACGCCGCGUGGGCGAAGAAGUAUUUCGGUAUGUAAAGACCUAUCAGCAGGGAAGAAGAAAUGACGGUACCUGAGUAAGAAGCACCGGCUAAAUACGUGCCAGCAGCCGCGGUAAUACGUAUGGUGCAAGCGUUAUCCGGAUUUACUGGGCGUAAAGAGAGCGUAGGCGGCACUACAAGUCUCAUGUGAAAUACCCGGGCUUAACUUGGGGGUUGCAUGGGAAACUGUAGAGCUUGAGUACAGGAGAGGCAAGCGGAAUUCCUAGUGUAGCGGUGAAAUGCAUAGAUAUUAGGAGGAACACCAGUGGCGAAGGCGGCUUGCUGGACUGAAACUGACGCUGAGGCUCGAAAGCGUGGGGAGCAAACAGGAUUAGAUACCCUUGUAC
This 449-nucleotide ribosomal RNA is filed under the name uncultured bacterium. RNAcentral's name for it is "partial 16S ribosomal RNA". It matches the Rfam family "Bacterial small subunit ribosomal RNA", at positions 329 to 793 of the family's 1533-position model. The record is from RNAcentral.